Molecule: long non-coding RNA, 1337 nt
Organism: Phacochoerus africanus (Common warthog)
Lineage: Eukaryota; Metazoa; Chordata; Mammalia; Artiodactyla; Suidae
Exons: 5
Source: RefSeq, a predicted model, not a curated record
AAUCCUGGGCCGGCCCCUCAGUACCCUUCUGGGCUCCAAGGGUCCACCCGCCCCCUUCGCCAGUCUUCUGGUUUCCACUUCAAAGUGCCGAGUGGGAAUGCGCAUUUUAAGAGAGAAAUCUGCAGCGAGCACCGCUUACUCCCCAGGAAAGUUUAGCUAAUGGUGGAAAGAUGGGCGCUGUGCCGGCCGGCACAGGGCGAUUUUUCUAGGGCCUCUGCAAAGUGAGAAAACUCUGAUACCAACCACCCUAUCCCACUGUUGGUAGCACAACUGUGUGCUGGUGCCUGGCAGACAACACGGCUCUACAGGCUCAUCAUUCUUCAUGGUUCUGUUUUAGGAGGCUUGUGGAAGCCAGCUGCCAUGUCGUAAGCACACUCAAGCAACCCCAUGGAGGAUUACAGGCGGUAAGGAACUGAGGCAUUUUGCCAACAGCCAGAACCAAUUGGCCAGCAAUGCUGCAGUGCCUUCGAGCCUUUGUGUGAUCAUAAUUCCAUCGGACAUCCUGACUGCAACCUGAUGAGAGAACUUAAGCCAGAACUACCCGGCAAAGUCACUUGUGGAUUCCCGAUACACAGAAAGUCUGAGAUAGAUCAUUCAGGGACCGGGAUCCUUCCCCCUUGUGGCUCUGCCGACUCCAACAGGCGGUUUCGAAGGAGGCCUCAAACGAGAAAGAGAAAGGAAGGAUGAGGCCACACCCGUGUAAAUCUGCCCAAGCCCGCAUUCUCUCCAGCUUCGCAUCCUGAACUGCCCCCAGGAUUUCAGACCUGUGUAUCCACCUGCGCCUGGAUGCUUCCGCCUGCGUGUGCACAGGCCCUUCACACUCAGCACGCCUCAAACUGAACUUGCCUUCAUCCGCCCACCCCCCCAAAUUGGCUUCUCCCGUGGCGACAACCUAACCCCAAGCUUGUCCCUGCUGAAAACCUGAGGGUCAUCACGGUCUCAUUUCUCAGUUUAAAUACUGGCCAAGCCGUGUCUCGAAUCAGUUCCCGCCACGCCCAUCCUCAGUUCAGGCCAUCACGUCCUGCUCAGACGCCCAUGGCUUCCUCCUAACAGGUCUUUGUGCCUCUAGUCUGUUCCCUCCAACCUGUCUCCACAGGCAGCCAGCGCACCUGGCCUGCAGUCCCAGUGGGACCACGGCGCUCACUUUCUGAAGCGAGUAUGGGCUUCCCUCUGGGGCCCCCAAGUCCGCUCAUGACUGGCCCCACUACAGCAAGCCCCAGCUUCCCCUGACAUCCCAGCAACGCGAGGCUGUCCCGUGCACAUACUCCGAGGAUCCCUGCUGCCACCCUAGGGUCUGGGUGGGUGCCCCUCAUGCCACUAAAGAGGCCUUUAUUUUC